RNAcentral lists this long non-coding RNA (257 nucleotides) under Elaeis guineensis (African oil palm). RNAcentral describes it as "long non-coding RNA (EGUI_LNC004719)". The record is from RNAcentral. Lineage: Eukaryota; Viridiplantae; Streptophyta; Magnoliopsida; Arecales; Arecaceae.
AGGUGACAUGUGUAUGAAUGGUAUCACAAUUAAAAUAACCGGGGUAAGUUGUUAUCAUGCUUUAUAAUUGUUAUAAAAGGUAUGAUGUAUGAUUAUGGACUUAAUACACUGAUGUGAUGGAUGUAUGUAUGAAUAUUUUUAUGUUGGCUGAUUGUAUAGAUGUAUCUACAAUAGUUGCAAUAUAGGCUGGGUGCCCUUGAUGCAUUAUAUUUUUAGCUAUACCUUACUGUUCUAUCCUUUAUAAUGUUUCCAACUAC